GUGCCAAUGGUUUAUGGGUAUCAUGCAAGAUUCCCAUUCUUGAGACCCAGGUUCAAGUCCCGGCUGGUGCA
This 71-nucleotide transfer RNA is filed under the name Xenopus laevis (African clawed frog). It matches the Rfam family "tRNA". Rfam says of the family: Transfer RNA (tRNA) molecules are approximately 80 nucleotides in length. Their secondary structure includes four short double-helical elements and three loops (D, anti-codon, and T loops). Lineage: Eukaryota; Metazoa; Chordata; Amphibia; Anura; Pipidae. The record is from Rfam by way of RNAcentral.